AGAGUUUGAUCAUGGCUCAGAACGAACGCUGGCGGCGCGCCUAAUACAUGCAAGUCGAGCGAGAAGACGUAGCAAUACGUUUGUAAAGCGGCGAACGGGUGAGGAAUACAUGGGUAACCUACCCUCGAGUGGGGAAUAACUAGCCGAAAGGUUAGCUAAUACCGCAUACGAUUCCCGGACUACGGUUCGGGAAGGAAAGCGAUACCAUGGGUAUCGCGCUCUUGGAUGGGCUCAUGUCCUAUCAGCUUGUUGGUGAGGUAAUGGCUCACCAAGGCUUCGACGGGUAGCUGGUCUGAGAGGACGAUCAGCCACACUGGCACUGCGACACGGGCCAGACUCCUACGGGAGGCAGCAGUAAGGAAUAUUGCGCAAUGGACGAAAGUCUGACGCAGCGACGCCGCGUGGGGGAUGAAGGUCUUCGGAUUGUAAACCCCUUUCGGGAGGGAAGAUGGAGUGGGGUAACCCAUUCGGACGGUACCUCCAGAAGCAGCCACGGCUAACUUCGUGCCAGCAGCCGCGGUAAU
RNAcentral lists this ribosomal RNA (524 nucleotides) under uncultured bacterium. Its description in RNAcentral is "bacterial SSU rRNA". It matches the Rfam family "Bacterial small subunit ribosomal RNA", at positions 8 to 524 of the family's 1533-position model. The record is from RNAcentral.